Molecule: ribosomal RNA, 301 nt
Filed under: uncultured bacterium
Lineage: Bacteria
Description: partial 16S ribosomal RNA
Rfam family: Bacterial small subunit ribosomal RNA
Source: RNAcentral
CAGCAGCCACGGGAAUACGAAGGGGGCUAGCGUUGCUCGGAAUCACUGGGCGUAAAGGGUGCGUAGGCGGGUCUUUAAGUCAGAGGUGAAAUCCCAAGGCUCAACCUUGGAACUGCCUUUGAUACUGGUUGCCUUGAGUCCGGGAGAGGUGAGUGGAACUGCGAGUGUAGAGGUGAAAUUCGUAGAUAUUCGCAAGAACACCAGUGGCGAAGGCGGCUCACUGGCCCGGAACUGACGCUGAGGCGCGAAAGCGUGGGGAGCAAACAGGAUUAGAUACCCCGGUAGUCCCUGUCUCUUAUAC